CUUGGGUCAUUAUUUGUUACCUUUUGUCCUUAAUUGAUUUUUGUUAUGGAUCACAUGCGUUGUUUUAACAGUUUCACAGUUCAAAUGAGGUGAUGUUAAGGGAAACCAGGUGAACGUACAUGUACACUUGUAAAUUCUGGAGAAAAUUAUUCAAAGGUUUAACAUUUUUUUAAGGAUGUUCGCUAUUCUGUUUCAAAAUAACAAGCUUUUUAAAAGAAUAUUAUAAAUUGAUAGUAUAUAAAUAAAGGAACUAAACAAGCAGAAAAAAAUGAAGGCUCCGUGUGCCUGUUUUUGAGAUAUAAGCCACUGAAAAUUUGACGAGAACUAAUUUUCUCUAGACUUUUCAUACAUUAAACAUUGGC
This 362-nucleotide long non-coding RNA is filed under the name Mytilus galloprovincialis (Mediterranean mussel). The record is from RNAcentral. Lineage: Eukaryota; Metazoa; Mollusca; Bivalvia; Mytilida; Mytilidae.